RNAcentral lists this unclassified non-coding RNA (333 nucleotides) under soil metagenome. RNAcentral's name for it is "partial contains 5.8S ribosomal RNA, internal transcribed spacer 2, and large subunit ribosomal RNA". The stretch from base 1 to 120 matches the Rfam family "5.8S ribosomal RNA", at positions 35 to 154 of the family's 154-position model. The record is from RNAcentral.
GAUGAAGAACGUAGCGAAAUGCGAUAAGUAGUGUGAAUUGCAGAAUUCAGUGAAUCAUCUAAUCUUUGAACGCACAUUGCGCCCUUCGGUAUUCCGUUGGGCAUGCCUGUUCGAGCGUCAUUUAAACCUUCAAGCUCUGCUUGGUGUUGGGUGUUUGUUCCGCCUGCGCGCGCGGACUCGCCUCAAAUUCAUUGGCAGCCGGUAUGUUGGCUUCGUGCACAGCACAUUGUGUCGCGACUCCAGCCUGCCUCCUUCCAUCAAGCCCCCCUAUUACUUUGGCCUCGGAUCAGGUAGGGAUACCCGCUGAACUUAAGCAUAUCAAUAAGCGGAGGA